This 634-nucleotide ribosomal RNA is filed under the name Microbotryum violaceum. RNAcentral describes it as "LSU rRNA". It matches the Rfam family "Eukaryotic large subunit ribosomal RNA", at positions 37 to 668 of the family's 3401-position model. The record is from RNAcentral. RNAcentral also lists the same sequence under 1 other name. Lineage: Eukaryota; Fungi; Basidiomycota; Microbotryomycetes; Microbotryales; Microbotryaceae.
UGCAUAUCAAUAAGCGGAGGAAAAGAAACUAACAAGGAUUCCCCUAGUAACGGCGAGUGAAGCGGGAAAAGCUCAAAUUUGUAAUCUGGCGCCUUUGGCGUCCGAGUUGUAAUCUCGAGAAGUAUUUUCCGCGCUGGACCGCACAUAAGUCUGUUGGAAUACAGCGUCAUAGUGGUGAGAACCCCGUAUAGGGUGCGGAUGCCCAGUGCUUUGUGAUAUACUUUCGAAGAGUCGAGUUGUUUGGGAAUGCAGCUCAAAUUGGGUGGUAAAUUCCAUCUAAAGCUAAAUAUUGGCGAGAGACCGAUAGCGAACAAGUACCGUGAGGGAAAGAUGAAAAGCACUUUGGAAAGAGAGUUAACAGUACGUGAAAUUGUUGGAAGGGAAACGCUUGAAGUCAGACUUGCAUUUUGGAGUUCAGCCGCAAGGUGUAUUCUUCAAUUCGCAGGCCAGCAUCAGUUUUUGGGGGUGGAAAAGCGUGGUUUGAAGGUAGCAGUCUCGGCUGUGUUAUAGCUUUCCACUGGAUUCACUUUUGGGGACUGAGGAACGCAGUACGCUUUUUGCAAGAUUCUCGGAUCUUUCGUACUUAGGAUGCUGGUGGAAUGGCUUUAAACGACCCGUCUUGAAACACGGACCA